Non-coding RNA from Rattus norvegicus (Norway rat), 1689 nucleotides. NCBI's taxonomy places the organism in Eukaryota, Metazoa, Chordata, Mammalia, Rodentia, Muridae. The record is from RefSeq and is a predicted model, not a curated record.
CAAAUUGUCUUUGUUUUAGAGAGUGGUUUAUAUAUGCACUGAAGGAAGAUCGCGGACUUUAGAAAAAAAAAAGAGUAGGAAGGGAUCAUGAAAUACGCCCUAAGUUUCUCUUUUAGUUUCCCACCGCGCUACAGCGAAGUGGGAAGGCAGAAACCAGACUAGGAUCAAAACCACAAACCCAGCUGCUCACCCAGAACCUGGUUUUCUGUGUAGGACUUCAUAUGUGCACGGGUUUUAUCUAUAUAUCUAUAUAUCUAUAUAUCUAUAUAUCUAUAUAUCUAUAUCUAUCUAUCUCUAUAUAGAUAUAGGUUUUGUUUGUUUGUUUGUUUGUUUUGGGGGGGUUAUUUUGCUAGAGGAAGAUUCCAUAGUGUGGCAAAGAGUUUGAAACUCUACAGAAUCCCCAAUCCCAGCUCCGGGCGCUUUCCUGUUCUGUCAAUUUGCUUUCAUUAUUCUCUCAGCUUAAACCGUUUGAGUGACGCAGGCUCUGCCAUGGUUUGAUGUGUGGGCAUAAAACAAAGCGGGCCACAGAACAGGAUGAAGGCUUAUGCUAACUCCUGUCAAAUGCUAAGCAUGUCCAGUCAUGCGUUAAUCCUUCGUGGCUGACCACAAGGGGUGACUUCCAUCACACCCGUAGGUAAAGCUGCUGACCGUGGGCUGCACACAGUGCUGGGAAGAGAAACACUUAUAAGUGAUCGUCGUGUGGGUAUUCGUAUCCAUCACAUCGAUCUUGUAAAGAUUCAAUGCUUUGAGCUUUUUUUCUUGGCUGAACAAUCAAGGGAUUGGGAAUAAGAUAAGAAGGAGACAUUACCUCAUAGGCUAUUCACAUACAUUAUAUGUAAUUUAGUACUGGUCAUAAUUAGAAUCCCCUAAAAAACGUCCAUGGCUUUUCAAAUAUGAGGUAUUAUCAUUUUUAUAAUUAUUAACCACUCCGAGCUUCUCUGUACUCUUUCUUGAGAGCAUUGGAAAACACUAACUUUAUCUGAUCGAUAAGGUUUUCCUUUCAGAUUCUUUCCAACAAUGAAAUCAUCAUGUAAAACCCAGCUUGAUAGAUAUCAGACCGCAGACAUGACUAAACAUUUCUUGCUGUUCACCCGUGUGUGUUUGGUAAUGCUGACUGAUGUCACGCUAACAAAGAACAAAGUAUGGCAGAAAAGAGUUGAUUUUGCCUUCCCUUUCCAGAGGGAUAUAGUCUGUUACGAGAACGGAGAGAUGGCUGCCGACAUGUGUGAGCAAAGUCAUCGUGGCAGAGGCAGGAGGCCGCUGGGCUAUGCUCCAUCUACACUCAGGAAAUAAUAGAGUUUGAAUGGGAAGAGAGACUCAGUCACAAAGGGCAGCAUCCACUGGGAAGGAGAAAGCCUCCGACGUCUGUCUUCAAAGUGUAAACAUUACGAGCUAUGAUCAUUUUCAUCUGCUGUUUGUGCAAGCAGCAAACAGCCCCGAUGGCCAGCGCAGGCGCUGAAUGACAGGACAUUAAGACAUCACGGCAGGUGCCAUGGACAGAGUCCAGAGGGGCCGAGAUGUGAGAACAUUCACCAGAACAUCAGAAUUGGCUGCUUGUCUAUCUUCUGUCUACCAAACGUCAUCCUGUCUGUCUGUCUAUCAUGUUAAUCGUCUACUCUCUACCUACCUAUCAUUUAUCUAGCUACCACCUACUUGUAAUAUUCGACCAGAAGAUACUAUGCACACUCC